Molecule: long non-coding RNA, 2598 nt
Organism: Poecilia latipinna (sailfin molly)
Lineage: Eukaryota; Metazoa; Chordata; Actinopteri; Cyprinodontiformes; Poeciliidae
Exons: 2
Source: RefSeq, a predicted model, not a curated record
CGUCUAAUCUACCUCCUUAACGGAAUUGUAACGUGGCUUUUCAAUUGACAGCGCAUUGAAAUUUGUAUUUUAUAAGAUCAGAGAAAUCCUGCAUAACCUUAAUACACCUCCUGCACUCAUGUCAUAUUUAUCCAUUACACAUCAGCUCCAUAAACUAUGUGGUUCACCAUGAGUCCAUUCCACUGUGAUUGCUUUAAACUUUGAAGACUAACAUGAAGACUGUUGCUUUUGUGGGAUAAUUUGAAGCGGUGAUUUCUGUUGAAUUGACUUCUACGAGUGGUGCUUUCAAAUGCUGCAUGCUGUCAUGUUUGCUGACAAACAUGAACAUUUAUUUUUUUCUCAUUGGAAAGGAAAUAAUAAUACCACUUUCACAAUAUCUGUCUUGUGUAUUGUAUUCGAAUUUCACCAUUGUAAUGUAAUCUAAUAUUUGUUUUGUUUGUUUUUGAUCUAAAUUCACAUCAUUCUUUCUAGUAUUUAAGAGGACUCUUGGCUUUGAGCAUGUCAAAUUUAUAAUAAUGGAUAAAUACACAUGCGUGGUUGAUCAUUUGUUGUAUUUUCCUACGUUUUGGACCUGAAGAGGACUCCAUGUGAAGUUCCUCUUCCUAAAUCUGGAACAGUCUAAACCUAAGCCUUGCAUUGGUUGUAUCCUUUUUAUCUGGUCUGAUUAACUGACAGGCUGAGCGGUGGAUUACAACGUGCUGGCAUGUGAAUCUGUGGAGUGUACCUGUGUUUGGGUGUUUGAAUGUUUGUGUGUUGUUUGCGUUUGUAAUCUGUCCGUCAUUCUGUUGCUGCACUGUGAUCAAAUGUCCUGACCUCUUUCCCCCGAAAAGCCAGGUGAUAGAUAAUCCAGAUAAACCCUGCUAUCCAAAUACACAUGCACAGCUAAAAUUAUUGUUGCGUCUUGUCCUUUACAAGUAUGCAAAUCCCUUGAAGUUUUCCCACAAUUUAUUAUUUUAUAAUGACUGACUGCAGUGUGUUUUGUUUGCAUUUUAAGUGAUAGACCAACACAGUUUUGUGGCAGGAAAAAAUAUGAUUUGGAAACCUUUUUUUAUUAAAGAAUUCUGAAAAUGCAUUUGGACUCAAAGACCACAAAUCAGUCCUCUGAAAAAUAAAACACCUUACCCUGUAAUUACAGCUUGUAGGUUUUGAUGUUUAUCUCUGCCACAUUAUUGCAGAAUAGCUUAAUAGACUCUAUGCCAAUGUUUGUGAACAUACAUUUUGAAGUCUUGGCACAGAUUCUCAAUUGAUGAUUAGCCUGGACAUUGACUGUGCCCUACUAGCACACAAGCAUGCUUUCCUAAAAAACAACCUGAAAAAUCUGUGUACCUCCAUUCAUAUUUCUACAAAACAGUUCAGGUUACCUGAUGAAAAAAGCUUUCCCAAAACAUUUCCUUUGGCAAUGAUGUGUUUGUUUGCAGUUAGCAAUCCUCCACACUUGCCAUUUUGCAUGCAGGCUGAAUGUUACUCUCACCUGAACCUUAUGUUGCUUCUGAUUUAAUGAGGUUUCAUAAGGGUGUCUUUCAACCGGAGCUUUCUCCUUGCCUUUCCUCCAUAAAGACAUGAUUUGUGGCAUGUCAAAAACUGGCUGUAAGAGAUUCUCUCACCUUAGCUGUGUUUUUCUGCAGCUGCUCUGUUGGUACAAUUGACCCUUUGGCUGCUUCACCAAUUUAUCCUCUCCUUAUCAUGUCCACAUUGGACAGCCAGAUUUCACAAAUAUAAAUUAAUACUGUCUAAGGAAAAAAACAAAAAAAAAAAAACAACUUCAAAUCAUCUGACAUUUUGACCAUGUGCUCCUCUUCUAACCCUGCAAAUACAUUGCCAUUUUAGAAAAUCAUGAAAACCAUAAGGCUGUAUGGUGUGACAAAUGACACAAUUGUAAUAAAAAAAGCCCAGUCUGUGCACAUGCAACAUAUUGUGCUGAUGGUGCAAACAAAGUCUGCAGAAGUUGUGUUGGCUAUAGAGGAGAAACUUUAGGUCACAAAUGGGAGCUGAAUCAUUUAGGAUCUAAAACCAGUUUCCAUGGUACAACUUUCCUUAGCAAGUCUCUGUGUCUCUAUUAAGUGCAUGCCUUCACAUCACAGCACUCUUUAUUAUGUUGCAUACAAGCUGAGUGGAUUGUGGCUUAUAGGUGCUAGCAAAGCAGAACAAACAAAGAGUUUGAUGUGACAGCCAUAUUUGCUAUUGUGUAUCAGAGCUGCUGUGUUGAACUAAGACAACUAAAAAGACUAAGACAGGAACUGAAUGUUUCUGUUUCAUUAAUGGAAAUUGAUCAAAUAGCAUAUGUUUAAAUGUAUUUUUGGCGUCUCAAACAGAAAUGUUGAAGCUGUUUUUGUCUCUCUAAUUUAUUAUGGCCUUUUCAGGAUCAUUGUCCAAAUUUCUGUGUUUCUUGGUUUAGUUACUAGUAAGUAAAUAUUUAUGCAUGGAAUUUAUCUCUAGUGAAAUUCAGGCCAGUGGGAAUUCUUGAUGCAGAAAUUAUGUUAAUCUGUUUUUGAGAAUGUUUGCUGUGGACUUUUGGAUAAUCACAUUGAUCCCAGCAAAUCUACCUCAGGCUGGCUUAAAUAGAUGAUCCAUUCCCUUGACCUCAGAACGUGGAGAAAA